CUUGGCCGAAUUCUCUGCAGCAAAAACACAACACAAAGUUGCCAUUUUCAUCUUCAAUUCUUGCACAAAACCUUCAUAGAUUCACACCAAAUUUGAACUACACUUAGCUUGUUGCUUGGAGAGUUCAUCUAGCUAGCAAAAGGAGGAGUUUUUCACGGUUUCUUGGAGCACUAGAGGACCGAAAAUUUCUGGUUUAAGACACCAAGGAGGUAUAACAUCAUCCUACACCUUAAACUUGGAUUAUGAUGGUAGAAAUGCAUCUUUAAGCUAUUGCAUGUGUAUGGGUGUCUUGACAUUGGUGUAAAAUUUGAAAAGUGGGCUUUAUGGAUUCCCACACUUAGGUUGUUGCUGAUUUGAUGAUUGAUGGUGGUUAUAUUGUUGGUUUAGUGGUUAAAAUGAUGGAUUAGUGGUGGGUAAUUGAUAGAAACUUCAUUGGGUGCAAGAAGCAAAAAUUUCCGAAAAUACCCCUGUUUUGUUCGGCCACUAUAAGGCCAAUUUUUGGUGAAUUAUUGGCAUGAACCUGAUGCUUAUAUGUUAUAUUAGAUGUGUGAAAAGUUUCAUUGAAAAAUAAUAAGGUUUGGUUGGGCAAAUGAAUUUUUUUGGGAAACUAGCAAAUCUGGAAACUGUUCCCGUAUGGCUCAGACCAGCUGUGGUAUUUCGACUAUAACUCUGUCCUCGGAUGUCAAAAUCAUGUGCCGUCAGUGGCGUUUGAAACUAAACAUCCCAGGCUUUAAUUUGAGAUAAAAUGCAUGUUCUGAUUCUUUGUGAGUGAGCCGGACCAAACGUUUUAAGAUCACUAUCCUGUUUCUCGGAACUGGUGGAAUGGUCUGUAGAGGCAGCAACUUGAGGCUCAAUUUCGAGCUGGUUGCUUGCCAAAUUUUGAAACAAUUUCUUCUGUGAACUUUUAUUCCUAUGAAUUUAUUUUCCAACGCCAUAAACCACGCUCAAUUCCAAGCUAAAUUGACUGAGUUGUGACCAAAAUAAGAGGACUGCCCUGUUUUGGAAAAACGUAUUAUUUGGACUGGUUUCGGACAAAAACCCGUGAGUAAUCUUAUUAAUUGAAAUUUUGAUACUAAACCAUUACCAAAGGUAUCAUGGUUGUAUCUUAGACCUUUAUUUCACAAAUGAACCAUGGUUGGAUAGCUUUCUUGGUUAAACGAUUUGAAUUUGGAAAAUGAAAGUCAAAAGGCAGAUUGCCUUAGGAAUUUUCCGGAACUUUGGGUGAUUAGUUCACCACCUUCCCGAGGGUAUGUUUCCCUGAAAUUUGACAGAGAGAUACCUUCCAUAUAGUAUCGAAAUACUGCCAAUUUUGGUAUCAAUCCAAGUUCGUUUCGAUACCUAAUUAAAUUUCUAGUGUUGGAGGUUCAAAUCUGGAAAUUCUUCUCCAGUCUUGAAUUUGCCCUGCCGUAUCUCGGUACUCGAAACUCCGAUUCUUGAUCCGCUUGUUUUGUUAUAAACUUCACUUGCAACACUACUUGAGUGACAAAUUUCAGAGGCUGGUUUGCAACGUUCGAAUCGUGCCGAAUUUUCAAAGUUGGCCAAAAUCCAACUUCAUUCUGCCUUGUGAACCAAUUCUGUACCUUCAAGCUCAUUUUGAGCACUUUCCACUUCGAUUCAUGGAAAAGUGUCUUCUAGGAACUUAUAGUACUUUCUAAGAGGUUUCCAACGGUAUAAAGUUUUCCAAUUCUUGACUUGUACCGAGUGAGUUACGAUAUUUCAAAGAUUCAUAACAAAACUGAAUUUUUCAAAUUUCAAGGCAAAGGAGUUUUCCAAAAACUCUUAAUUCUUUUAGUAAUAUUCAAACGUUUUGCCCUCGAUUUUCAUGAUAAAAACUCAAUUAAUAUUGUACUUAAUAAAACGCAAGUUGAACCUCGAUUUACGAGUAAUUGAGGUUCAUUUUUGUGAAAUAUUCCUUAGAUUGUACUAAUGUACAAUCUUACUUGAUAAUUGAGAUACUUGAGUAAUUAUCCACCAUUAACUGCCAGGCACACAAGGAGACCUUCAAGAGGAUCUCACCGUGGACACUUGAACUCCAGCGAAUAAUCUUUAUUGAUUAGCUUGGUGAGUGUCAAGUGUGUGAAUCUUUGAUACUUGCUUAAUUGUGGUAAUUAUUAGAGAUUUUAAAAAUAAGGGCGGGUGUGUACUUUAUCGCAUCCGUCCUGAUUUCAAAUGAAUGAAUGAAAUGUAUUGAAUGAAUGAAUGAAAUGCAAUGCUAUGUAAUGGUUACAUAUGUCGUUGGAGUGAACCUCCUCGACUUUCAAAUGAAUGGGGGACGCCCAAACUCAUAGGCCGACCUUGAACUCGAGCCGGCAAUGGGCUUGGUCGGGAACUUGGGCGAGCCAUGAGAUUAUAAGCUCGACCUAAUAAGAGGUCUUGCUUGGCAUACUCGUCGAGUAUCGCCCUAAAAAUAGACUUGUGGGCCCUUGGGGUGUACGGUGGACGGAGGGAAGUAAGUGGUGAUCUACGGAAAUGGAAAUACCAACCCGGUUGUGUGAUGACCCCAUCUUCCCCUAAGGCGAACCAGAGGGGUGACGGACCGCCUGCCCAGCUCUCGCCAGGACUACGGAUCACAAAACAAUCAAAUACAUAUUUAAUUUUACAAAAGAAAACUCAACGAAAGAACAUUUUAUCCCAUUAAGGUGUUCUUGGAACAAUAGUAUCAUCACGCAAGAAAGUAUAGCGCUCGAGCACUUCAAUCGGACCAGAAAACGAAGAACGAAAAUUUGCCGCGGAUGAACAGUAACCGCCUGCGUCACUAUCCGGCCAGAAUCUGGCCGGAUAUCCGGCCGGAUUCUCGGCCGGAUAGGAGGCCGAGGCUAAACCCAAAAUUUUCAAAAUCCCCUGCCAAUCCGGCCAGAAAUCCGGCCGGAAGUUGGCCGGAUUGCUCUGGCCGGAUUGUGGCCAGAAGCAAAAUCGAAAAUUUUUUUUUCUUCCCCUGCAUAUCCGGCCUUGUAUCCGGCCAGUUUCUGGCCGGAUUCUUGGCCGGAUUCUGGGCAGUGUUUUUGCCAAAAAUUCUUUCUUCCUUCGUACAAAACCGACACACGCGUAAACACAUCAAACACAUAAUGCAGUUUAUCCAAGCCUUGAAAAGCUGUUUAUACAUGCCAUAUAUACAUGAGAAAGGUUCAAUUUACACUUCAAAAGUUCUUGGAAUCAAAUACAUCAAAGUUCAAGUUUCCGAGGAGCUAAUCAAAACUAAGUACAUAUCUAGCUCAACUCAUUCAAAACUUGAGGUCCAACGGGGCUCCUGUAAGGAAAACAAAAUAACGGGGGUGAGCUUACGCUCGUGAGGUACCAAACUUACACACAAGUAAUACAAGUCAACAACCACAUAUACACAAGUGCCUCUAGCCAAUCAACCGUAUAUAAAAGGAUACAAUCGGCCCUCAAGGGCCGUUUUCCACUUGCCGUACUUGAUCAUACCCGUUGACACUCCGUCAACCAUUGGAGACAACCAAGAACCGUAGGCACCUCUUUACACCAUUUCCUUCCACCAAUCACCCCCUUACCGGGCCCGCACACCUCACAGUUACAAAAGGCAAUACUCGAGUAUACCAUAAGGUCGAGGAGUGAAUACUCCACUCGACUAUCAGUGACCCAAAGGCACGUUAACGACUCACCCAAGCCCUAGCCGGCUCGACUCGAGUAACGGCCUAAGGGAAAGAGCUCAGUUUUCACAGUAAUAAUAGGGCAUAGCCCUAGCAAAUAUCAAACCACAUAUGUACUUGAAAUUUCACAGUCCAACAGUAACAAUAAUACCAGUAAGUGGUCAAGAGCGAUAAAGUACACCCUUGACCUAUUCAAGACAUACAAGUCACAUAUCAAGUGCAAUCAACCAUUUAACGAUACACUCACCAAGUACUCAAGUAAAUCACACGUUCGAGUCAGGAGUAGGUCCCGGUCCACCGGUACGACCUAAAACAAGCAAGAAACAUAUUUGAGACUCAUACACGAGUCAACGUAUAGGUUUAACCUACUAAUACAAAUUACUCGAAAAUACAAAAUGGAGCAACGAAAGUGUGGAAUGUGAACAAACUCCCCAAGUCAUCCAUUCUAUUCAAAUCCUUCUCAAUUCAAGACCUCCCAUUUUUACACCCAAUUGGGCGGCAUUUCCCCUUAAUUUCUUCACAUUUCCAACCUAAUGAACAACACUCAACUUGUACCAUUCCACUUAUGGUUCUUAAACUAGUCCAUUCACCCCAUUUGAAUCACAAUACAACCAUAUACACAUCAAUUGAUUGCAUGAAAACCAUACAUGGAAAAGCCCCAAUUUCAUUAAACCCUAAAACCGAAAUUUUCUCACAAAUGCUGAAAUUUUCCACAAUUACCCACCAUUAACACAUAUAAGCUCUAAAUCAAGCCAUAUAAAGCCAUCACACCCAACUCAACCAUGAUAUAUCAUAUAAAACAGAAAAUUCCUAAAUAAAUAGAAAAUUGCCACAUCUCAAGUAUAAGUCAUGAAAUACUCCAUAAAAUAGCCUCUUGAACUACUAUCACCCAUAACUUUCAUCUUACAACCAACAAGGAAACAAUUCCAUAUUUACUCACCUUACAAUUCUUGAUACAAGGUAGAUGAGAGCCUUUCCUUUCAAACAAAAACCACCAAGCACUUCAAACACUCCUAGCAAGAAGGUUUUAUGGAGGAUUUUGAGAGAUUAGUGGUUGGAUUCCAUGAUUUGGCAAAGAAAUGGAGCAAGAGUUGAAGAGCUUUCUUCCUUCUUUUCUCUCUAGUUGGCCGGCCAAGAGGUAAGAAAUAAUGAGGAAUUUUAGUCAAAAUUUUAAUUUAGUAAAGGUGUAGACAAGUCAAAAGUCCAAGGUCCAAUAGGAUUGCAACAUGUGUUUUUUUCCAAGCUUAUCUCAUUCUUGUCUUACAACACUUAAUUAAACCAACUAACCUCCAAUUAACUCAUAACACAAGAUAAUAAAACUUCCGUAUAUAAAAUUUCCCAAAGCUACAUUUAACUGUACCGAUCGUCUUAGUGGGUCCCGCAACCGCUGUACACCGUUAACAACACAGAAUUUGACCUAAACCCAGAAAAUGAUGCAAAAUUCAUAUUCUCUCAUAAAAUUCCCCAGAAAACCCACGGAUAGAAGAAAACCCUAAAAUUAGGCCCAAACGCCCAAAAUAAAUGCCUGAAAAAUAUGAAAAUUUUCGGGGUCUCACACUCUCUCCCCCUUAAAGAAUUUCGUCCUCGAAAUUUCUCACCUGAAUCACUAAACAGUUCGGGAUAUUUGGUUUUCAUUUCACUCUCCAUCUCCCAAGUUGCUUCCUCGACUCCGUGGUUCUUCCAUAGCACUUUCACCAGUGGAAUUUGCUUAUUCCUUAGCUCCUUAACUUUCCUAUCAAGCACUCGCAUAGGUUUUUCUUCGUAAGUAAGGGCUUCAUCAACGUCAAUCUCCCCCGGCUGGACAAUGUGCGUUGGAUCAGGGUAAUACUUUUUGAGCAUCGACACAUGGAAUACAUCGUGAAUUCGUGACAAGCUCGGCGGCAAGUCAAGCCGGUACGCUACUUUUCCAACCCGUUGAAGGAUCGGAAACGGUCCUAUGAAUCUAGGUUGGAGUUUCUUUCCUCGGCCAGCAGUGAUGCUUCGCAAUGGUGUAAUCUUGAGGAAUACAUGGUCCCCCACUUCAAAUUCCAAAUCUUUCCUUCGGUUGUCGGCAUAGCUCUUCUGGCGACUUUGGGCUGUCUGGAGUCUCUGACGGAUUAACUUGAUAUUUUCUUGAGCAUCCUCCAUCCAAGGAAUGAUAGUAGGAUCUAGAACCUUCUUCUCUCCCACUUCAUCCCAGUAUAUCGGUGAACGGCACUUUCGUCCAUAAAGAGCUUCGUAUGGUGCCAUUUGGAUUGAAGAAUGAUAGCUGUUAUUAUAGGCGAACUCUACUAAUGUCAUGUGUUGUCCCCAAUUACCCCCGAAAUCUAGAAUACUCGUUCGUAACAUAUCUUCGAGGGUCUGAAUCGUUCGCUCCGACUGUCCAUCCGUCUGAGGAUGAUAAGUAGUACUCAGGUUCAGUUUCGUCCCCAAGGUCUCCUGAAACUUUUGCCAAAAUCUGGACACAAAACGAGGGUCUCGGUCGGAAACGAUGCUCACAGGCACUCCAUGCAAUCUUACAAUCUCUUCUAAAUAUACUCGAGCUAACUUAUCCAUGGAAUACUUCAUAUUCACAGGUAGGAAAUGAGCCGACUUGGUCAAUCGAUCAACGAUCACCCAAACGGCAUCACAUCCUUUUUGAGUUCUAGGUAAUCCGGAAACGAAAUCCAUGGUGAUGUGUUCCCACUUCCAUUCGGGAAUCUCCAAAGGCUGCAGUAGUCCCGAAGGCUUCUGGUGUUCGGCCUUAACUUGCUGGCACACUAAACAGGUCUGGACGUACUGAGCUAUCUCUCUCUUCAUCCUGUCCCACCAGUACAAUCGUCGUAAAUCAUGAUACAUCUUGUUACUUCCUGGAUGGAUUGUAUACUUAGAUCGAUGAGCUUCCUCCAAGAUUUCCCUUCUCAAAGUUUCAUCAUCAGGUACCACUAUUCGAUUUUGAAAUCUUAAAAUCCCUUCAGGGCUCAAAUUAAAAUUGGGUAUUUCUCCUUUCUUCACCUUUUCUACCCACCUUUGAACUGUCGGAUCCUUAGUUUGAGCUUCCUUGAUCUUUUCUAAAAACACGGACGUCACUCGGAUAUUCCCAAAGGUUAUCCUAUUAUGUUCCAGCUUUGGAUUCCAUUCUCCAAUGGUUCCCAGUAAUUCCCACUCUUUCACCAUCAAUCCAGACAUCUGAGCCUUUCGGCUUAGGGCAUCGGCUACCACGUUAGCCUUACCAGGAUGGUAGUUAAUGGUAUAAUCGUAAUCCUCCAAGAAUUCCAUCCAACGGCGUUGUCUCAUGUUCAACUCCUUCUAGGAAAAGAGGUAUCUGAGGCUCUUAUGGUCAGAAUAAACUUCAAAAGUCACUCCGUACAGAUAGUGUCUCCACUUUUUCAGAGCGAAGAUGUAACGACCCCAUUUUCCCCUAAGGCGAACCAGAGGGGUCAACGGGCCGCCUGCCCAGCUCUCGCCAGGUCUCCGUCAAUUACUACAGUUCUCCAAAAAUUACAAUAUAAAUCUCACAUAUAUACAUCAAAUUCUCCAAGAACUACAUAUCACAAACGCCGCGGAAUGUACACGUACGUCCAUUCAAGUCCAAUCAUUCAUUACAAACCAUAUCCACAAGCUAUUACACAAGAGGCGAUCCAAAUUCAAACCGUACAAGGUAGAAUCCAUCCAUUCCAAUUAUAAACAGUCACCCUAGCCCAACUAUUACACCAAACGAAUUCAAAUCCAAACUAUACAAGAUAUACACCGUCCAGGUACACAAAUAACUUAAUACAGCUCUUCCUUUGUUCGAAACUGGUACUCGCAUAAACACAUCAAACACAUAAUGCAAUUUAUCCAAGACUUGACAAGGACAUAUAUAUACAUGAGAAAGAUUCAAUUGUACACUUCAAAAGUACUUGAAUUCAUUUACAUCAAAAUUUCAAGUUUUCGAGGAGCAACUCAAAACUAGCUACAUAACUAGCUCAACUCAUUUCAAAAUUUGCGUCCAACAGUGUCCCUGUAAGGAAAACAAAACAACGGGGUGAGCUUGCGCUCGUGAGGUACCAAAUGCACAAAUACAUGAUGCGGCCAAAUAACAUAUACGCAUAAGUGCCUUUAUUCAAACAUUCAUUUAUAAAAGGAUACUUUCGGCCCUCAAGGGCCGUUUCCAAUGUCCAUACUUGAUCGUAUUCGUUGACACUCCGUCAACCAUUGAAGAUAACCAAGAACCGUAGACACCUCUUCUCACCAUCUCCUUCCACCGUUCACCCCCUAUUCGGGCCCGCCGCCUCAAAGUUCCAAAAGGUAAUACUCGAGUAUACCACAAGGUCGAGGAGCUAACACUCCACUCGCCUAUCAAGGACCCAAAGGCUCGUUAACGAAUCGCCCAAGCCCUUGCCGGCUUGACUCGACUAACGGUCUAAGGGUAUGAGCUCAAGUUCACAGUAAUAGUAGGGCAUUGCCCUAUCAAAUGUCAAAUCAUGUACAUAUUCAAUUUCAUAGCCAAAUAGCAUUGGUAAUGCAAGUAUGUGGUCAAGAGCGAUAAAGUACACCCUCGACCUAUUCAAGUUAUAUAACAAGUACAAUGAACCAUUUAGUGAUACACUCACCAAGCACGGCUCACGAAGCUUAUUCGGCAAGCCUCAUUAUCUUGAUCAAGUUGAAAUCCUAAAACCAAAUAUCACGUCAAGCAAAGGAAAAUUCUAACAUUAACAAGCUUCUAUUGCCUUUUGGCAUUUUAAUCACAAGUAAAGCUAUACCUAUCCGAUCAAAACAAAUCUUAUGGCGUUACGAAGCUAAAACAUAUGUCAACAUUUCUUAUGAAGAUUUCCAAGGCCAAAUCAUACAUUUUCAAAACCAAAAUCUGAAUUCUAGAGAAAGAACGAAAACUGUCAUAAAACAGGAGUCUAUAAACAGUCAGAGCAAAUCAGUCAUUUUUCCAGGCUACAGAGGUCCAAACAAUCUGAAAUUUUGUAGGUAGGUAGUUAACUCAUAUAUCUACAAAAUUCAUGUUUUGAGCAAAAGCUGGUUCGGUCUAAAACACAGAGAAAAUGACAGUCCAAGUUCGGUCCAGAAACAGGGGAAAACUAAAAGUAUCCUUCUUGAACCAACCUUUGCAUACAACCAUUACUAAUCACAAUUAUAGACUAGAAAUCCCCACUUAACAUGAGACUAGCCUAUACUAAUCAUGUACAUGCCAAAACAAGGAUGAAUUAUCUUAAACAAAGUUUAGAAACGUCACUAAUAUGAAACUUUAUCAUCCCAACUUCCGAAUCACAAGAAUUUCCAUAAAAUGAAUCAAGACCAAUUCAAAUUCAAAACAACCACAUACUCUCAAAAAUUGGGCGGCAUAACCCCUUAAUUUCACACAUUUCAAACCUACUAUUCAAAUACCAAUUCUCAUACCAAUUAACCACAGUCACCCAUUUUAUUCAUAAUCAAUAUCAUACAUUCAAUUAAGCCAUAAUUUCCUUCAAUCAAAGCCAAUCAAAAGCUUAAAGCCAACCUUGGAAAAAUCCCCAAUUUGAAACCCUAGAAACCGGAAAUCACACUACAAGCAUAAAUUUUCUGCAAUCGAUCACAAAUAACGUACAAGAGCUCCAUUUAACAUCGUUUCAAUCCAUCAAUCCAACACUAAUCAUAACUUUCAUAUAAAAUCAGAAAAAUACCCAAUAAAUCACAAUUCACCAUCAAUUCCUUCAACCCAUGAAAUACUCCACAAUACAACAUAUUUAAACAUCACAAACCCUAGAUUAACCAAUAUUAGAACCAAAAAGACAUUGUUUAUUCAACUUACCUCCAAUUCAAGAGAGUAACCAAACCAAAGCUUCCCCUUCAAAACCAAUCCAUCAAAAGCUUUAGACCACCAUAGUGCACCCUUGUGUGGAGUAGCUUGCCAAAUCAUUGGUUAAAACUCAAGAUAUUUGUCAAAAAUUAAACUAAGAAAAUUGAGAGUAUUUUCUCUCUAUGAAGCUCGGAUGAACCAGGGAAGAAAAUGAGGCAUUUUAGGCAAAACAAUGAGAUAAGAAGGAAGAAAAAGGCAGCCGGUCAAAGCUGACCGGCUGUGACACGUCACAAUCCGGCCAGAAUCUGGCCGGAUUUCCGGCCGGAUUCCUGGCCGGAUACAAGGCCGAGGCUGAUCAAAAUUUUUUCAAAACUGCAGGGCAAUCCGGCCAGAAACUGGCCGGAUUUCCGGCCGGAUUUGGCCACUGCCAUUUUUCGAAACUUUUCUUUUCUUGUCCGAGUUGAAAAACUGUGCUACUCCGCUCGUCCAACAAAAAUAUCCAUAAAAUGAAAACCCUACUUUUCGGGGCGUCACAAUCUCUCCUCCUUAAAACAAUGUCGUCCUCGACAUUCUACCUCAUAUACAUCUGGUCAAGAUAUCGUUCAAAAACCAUUCAAGCAUUAGAAUUCCAUCUAAUCCAACUUGCAUUCACCAGGUCCAAUUAGUCUUCCCAAAGUCGGUCAAAUACUAAGAAUUGUUCCAAUCUCACUUAUCGAAAUCAAGUACUAAGGAGUAUCCAAAUCCAGCUUAUCAAAUAGUCAUGAUCCAGUAAAGCAUGGCUUAUCAAAUAAUCACUUAUCAAUUUCAAGUACUAAAUACACGCCAAUCCAACUUAUCAAAUAGUCAUGAUCCAAUAAGGAGUUAUCGCGUAGCCAGAUAAAGCAGGCAAAAGGCUUGAAAUCGGACGUAAAGUCCCAGAUAUCUGGAAGAAAUUCAGGGUAUAGCGAAGCUGCAAAUCAAAAACUCAUCCCUGGUGGUGCUGGACAACACAACAAGCUAGCACAACGGCUAUGCUUCACCAAAGAAUUUCAAUUCAGUAAGUUGGCCCUGGUGGUGCCGGACAACACAACAAGUUAGCACCACGGCUAAACUUCGCCAGAGAGCCUCAAUUCAAAGUUCCAUCCCUGGUGGUGCUGGACCACACAACAGGCAUGCCUCGCCUGAAGAAUGGCGGUGCUGGACAACACAACAGGCAAUGCCUCACCAGAGAGGUUCAGUUCACCCGCUACAAAAGAGUAGUAGCCGGUCUACAACCAUAUGAGUACAAAUAAGUUCAAGAGUAGGGUCAAAGCAGCGCCAAUUACUUCAGGUUCAUAGUGCAUGAGUACGAGGAAGUUCAAAAGCAGGGUCAAUUAUUGCAGAUUCAGGGAGCACGGUCACAAAUAAGAGUACAAGUUCAGGUUCAAGUGCAAGUUCAAGUUCAAGGAUCAUGAGUACUGGUAAAACACACUAGCCUAACCUCUGUCCAACUAUUCACAUUCUUAAGCAGUCAUGAAAUUCAAGUCCACCUACAGGUCCAAUACCAUAUAUUCAGUGAAGUUAGGUCCAUCAAGGAUACGUAUAAACACACUCGCCUAACGAGGUCAAGUCUCAAGGAAGUUCAAUCCAGUCGAUCUCAGGCAGCCCAAGACCAAUCUCAGGUAGUUCGAGGUCAAUCCCAAGUAGUUCAAGUAUAGCAAAUUCCAACACUUACCACUCAAGUGGUGCAACUUUAAUCCAACAGGAAUACUAGAAGAGAGAUACAAAACUAAAAAUUUCUCAACAAUUCUAGCCACUACCGAAAUGUAUCAAAACCCGAGCCACAUACUUAUUGAACAAGUCCAAGUCAUUAUUUCACUCUCCUUAUUCGGUUUAGCCGUGAGUACAAUACAAAAUCUUCUGUGCUCUAACCUAUGCCAUCACAACUUAUCUCAAACUCACUUAUAAUUUCCAUUCACAUCGUCAUACAUUAAACUAUGUUCCAACCAAGAUUCAUGAGCAUUUCCUCAAGAAAAUGUCAAGUACUCAAAUACAAGAAUUCCAACUAAGAACUUCACGACUCAGAUCGUAUGGUAUUCAGCGAAAAUCAAAGUCAUAUUUUACAUAUACUACUUCCAGAAUUAGUGCCAAUGUCACCAAGUGGCACCAAGUUCAAUCGGAUCACAUGCCUUUACGAAAUUAGAUCCAAUACUUCCAUAACACAAGCUGAAACCAAAGGUUAUCCAUUCGAAGUUCAAAAUCUUCAAUAAACCAGCUACUAGUAAGAGCACCAUCAUCUCCAAGAAUAACCAAUCUUAGGUUCUAUAGCAGAGUCUCAAGUUCCAAGUUCAAAUCCAAGAAGUAAGCACAGCUUGCUAACUUACAUGGUAAAUAGAAACCAAGUCAAAUAAGCUCAUCAGUUAUUCACAAAUUUUCGAAUUCGAAAUUCAAGUAAAAUUCACCUUUUUACCAAAAUCGGAAAAUUACACAUUUUUAAAGCAUAUAUAUCGAAUUUCCAAACAUCGCUUGCAAAUAAAACUAGGAAGUAUACAGGCAGAAAAUGCAUUUUAUUCAUUUGAUACUCUUUUAUCUUGGUUCAAAAUCAUCAUACGUGGAGUUUGGCCAGCAAACCUCGGUCUCUUAUCCCCCAUAGCCAGUACUAAUGAUUAUCUCAACUCUUUCCACACUUACAAGUAUAAUAAUACUUCAAAUUCAUCCAAUCUUUCACUGCAAAUCUCUCAUCCCAUAUUUUCCUUCAAUAUAAAUCCCAAGCAAGAAACUCCCAAGUAAUCAAUUUCUUUAACCUCUAAGAUACAAUAGAUCCUUGUUCACACAAUAUUCAAAUCACUCCCACAGUCAGGCAUCCUAAAUUUCAAACUUAGGAUACACUACAGAGAUCGGAAGCCUAAGCUCUGAUACCACUUGUAACGACCCCAUUUUCCCCUAAGGCGAACCAGAGGGGUCAACGGGCCGCCUGCCCAGCUCUCGCCAGGUCUCCGUCAAUUACUACAGUUCUCCAAAAAUUACAAUAUAAAUCUCACAUAUAUACAUCAAAUUCUCCAAGAACUACAUAUCACAAACGCCGCGGAAUGUACACGUACGUCCAUUCAAGUCCAAUCAUUCAUUACAAACCAUAUCCACAAGCUAUUACACAAGAGGCGAUCCAAAUUCAAACCGUACAAGGUAGAAUCCAUCCAUUCCAAUUAUAAACAGUCACCCUAGCCCAACUAUUACACCAAACGAAUUCAAAUCCAAACUAUACAAGAUAUACACCGUCCAGGUACACAAAUAACUUAAUACAGCUCUUCCUUUGUUCGAAACUGGUACUCGCAUAAACACAUCAAACACAUAAUGCAAUUUAUCCAAGACUUGACAAGGACAUAUAUAUACAUGAGAAAGAUUCAAUUGUACACUUCAAAAGUACUUGAAUUCAUUUACAUCAAAAUUUCAAGUUUUCGAGGAGCAACUCAAAACUAGCUACAUAACUAGCUCAACUCAUUUCAAAAUUUGCGUCCAACAGUGUCCCUGUAAGGAAAACAAAACAACGGGGUGAGCUUGCGCUCGUGAGGUACCAAAUGCACAAAUACAUGAUGCGGCCAAAUAACAUAUACGCAUAAGUGCCUUUAUUCAAACAUUCAUUUAUAAAAGGAUACUUUCGGCCCUCAAGGGCCGUUUCCAAUGUCCAUACUUGAUCGUAUUCGUUGACACUCCGUCAACCAUUGAAGAUAACCAAGAACCGUAGACACCUCUUCUCACCAUCUCCUUCCACCGUUCACCCCCUAUUCGGGCCCGCCGCCUCAAAGUUCCAAAAGGUAAUACUCGAGUAUACCACAAGGUCGAGGAGCUAACACUCCACUCGCCUAUCAAGGACCCAAAGGCUCGUUAACGAAUCGCCCAAGCCCUUGCCGGCUUGACUCGACUAACGGUCUAAGGGUAUGAGCUCAAGUUCACAGUAAUAGUAGGGCAUUGCCCUAUCAAAUGUCAAAUCAUGUACAUAUUCAAUUUCAUAGCCAAAUAGCAUUGGUAAUGCAAGUAUGUGGUCAAGAGCGAUAAAGUACACCCUCGACCUAUUCAAGUUAUAUAACAAGUACAAUGAACCAUUUAGUGAUACACUCACCAAGCACGGCUCACGAAGCUUAUUCGGCAAGCCUCAUUAUCUUGAUCAAGUUGAAAUCCUAAAACCAAAUAUCACGUCAAGCAAAGGAAAAUUCUAACAUUAACAAGCUUCUAUUGCCUUUUGGCAUUUUAAUCACAAGUAAAGCUAUACCUAUCCGAUCAAAACAAAUCUUAUGGCGUUACGAAGCUAAAACAUAUGUCAACAUUUCUUAUGAAGAUUUCCAAGGCCAAAUCAUACAUUUUCAAAACCAAAAUCUGAAUUCUAGAGAAAGAACGAAAACUGUCAUAAAACAGGAGUCUAUAAACAGUCAGAGCAAAUCAGUCAUUUUUCCAGGCUACAGAGGUCCAAACAAUCUGAAAUUUUGUAGGUAGGUAGUUAACUCAUAUAUCUACAAAAUUCAUGUUUUGAGCAAAAGCUGGUUCGGUCUAAAACACAGAGAAAAUGACAGUCCAAGUUCGGUCCAGAAACAGGGGAAAACUAAAAGUAUCCUUCUUGAACCAACCUUUGCAUACAACCAUUACUAAUCACAAUUAUAGACUAGAAAUCCCCACUUAACAUGAGACUAGCCUAUACUAAUCAUGUACAUGCCAAAACAAGGAUGAAUUAUCUUAAACAAAGUUUAGAAACGUCACUAAUAUGAAACUUUAUCAUCCCAACUUCCGAAUCACAAGAAUUUCCAUAAAAUGAAUCAAGACCAAUUCAAAUUCAAAACAACCACAUACUCUCAAAAAUUGGGCGGCAUAACCCCUUAAUUUCACACAUUUCAAACCUACUAUUCAAAUACCAAUUCUCAUACCAAUUAACCACAGUCACCCAUUUUAUUCAUAAUCAAUAUCAUACAUUCAAUUAAGCCAUAAUUUCCUUCAAUCAAAGCCAAUCAAAAGCUUAAAGCCAACCUUGGAAAAAUCCCCAAUUUGAAACCCUAGAAACCGGAAAUCACACUACAAGCAUAAAUUUUCUGCAAUCGAUCACAAAUAACGUACAAGAGCUCCAUUUAACAUCGUUUCAAUCCAUCAAUCCAACACUAAUCAUAACUUUCAUAUAAAAUCAGAAAAAUACCCAAUAAAUCACAAUUCACCAUCAAUUCCUUCAACCCAUGAAAUACUCCACAAUACAACAUAUUUAAACAUCACAAACCCUAGAUUAACCAAUAUUAGAACCAAAAAGACAUUGUUUAUUCAACUUACCUCCAAUUCAAGAGAGUAACCAAACCAAAGCUUCCCCUUCAAAACCAAUCCAUCAAAAGCUUUAGACCACCAUAGUGCACCCUUGUGUGGAGUAGCUUGCCAAAUCAUUGGUUAAAACUCAAGAUAUUUGUCAAAAAUUAAACUAAGAAAAUUGAGAGUAUUUUCUCUCUAUGAAGCUCGGAUGAACCAGGGAAGAAAAUGAGGCAUUUUAGGCAAAACAAUGAGAUAAGAAGGAAGAAAAAGGCAGCCGGUCAAAGCUGACCGGCUGUGACACGUCACAAUCCGGCCAGAAUCUGGCCGGAUUUCCGGCCGGAUUCCUGGCCGGAUACAAGGCCGAGGCUGAUCAAAUUUUUUUCAAAACUGCAGGGCAAUCCGGCCAGCUAUCCGGCCAGAAACUGGCCGGAUUUCCGGCCGGAUUUGGCCACUGCCAUUUUUCGAAACUUUUCUUUUCUUGUCCGAGUUGAAAAACUGUGCUACUCCGCUCGUCCAACAAAAAUAUCCAUAAAAUGAAAACCCUACUUUUCGGGGCGUCACAGAAGACAACUGCGGCCAGUUCCAGAUCAUGAAUGGGAUAGUUUUGCUCAUGAAUUUUCAAUUUUCUAGAAGCAUAGGCUAUCACGUUUUGAUGUUGCAUCAAUACGCAUCCUAACCCUUCUUUGGAGGCGUCAGUGUAAACAGUGAAACCGUCUGGACCGUUAGGUAAAGCCAGAAUAGGGGCCAUGGUUAAUCUCCGUUUCAACUCGUGAAAGCUAUUUUCACACUUAUCACUCCAUAGAAAUUUUCCACCCUUCUUGGUUAGAUCGGUUAAGGGACUGGCAAGUUUCGAAAAAUCUUUACUAAAUCGCCGAUAAUAACCUGCCAACCCUAGAAAACUUCGGAUCUCAGUAGGGUUAUCGGGUCUCUUCCACUCAGUCACCGCUUCUACCUUGGCCGGAUCUACAGCAAUUCCUUCCUUUGAAAUCACGUGCCCCAGAAAAGAAACCUUUUCUAGCCAAAACUCACAUUUACUAAACUUAGCAUACAACCGGUGCUCCCUCAAGGUUUGUAGGACCUUUUUCAAAUGUUGUUCGUGCUCCUCACGGGUUUUUGAAUAAACCAAUAUGUCAUCAAUAAAAACAACGACAAAUCGAUCGAGAUAAGGUUUGAAAAUUCGAUGCAUGAGGUCCAUGAAAGCAGCAGGGGCAUUGGUCAGUCCAAAAGGCAUCACAGCAAAUUCGUAGUGCCCAUACCGAGAAUUGAAGGCGGUUUUAGGCACAUCUUCCUUUUUAAUUAACAGUUGGUAAUACCCCUGUCGAAGAUCUAACUUUGAAAAGACCACCGCACCCUGUAAUUGAUCAAAUAGCUCAUCGAUGUGAGGUAGGGGUACUUGUUCUUAAUGGUCACGUUGUUCAACCCUCGGUAAUCGAUACAUAAUCUCAAGGUUCCAUCCUUCUUCUUAACAAAGAGAAUAGGUGCCCCCCAAGGUGAUCCACUCUCGUGAAUAAACCCUCGCUCUAGAAGGUCUUGCAACUGUAACUUCAGCUCUUUGAGUUCCGCAGGUGCCAUUCGGUAAGGAGUUUUGGAAAUAGGGGAAGCCCCUGGACAAAGGUUAACUUCAAACUCAAUUUCUCUUUCUGGAGGCAGAUUUACUAACUCGUCAGGAAAAACAUCAGGGUAUUCACUCACUACCGGAACAUCUUCUAUUUUCAGUUUGUCGGCAGGAGUGUUAAUAAGAAAAGCUAGGAACCCUUGCGCCCCUCUAUUCAAUAAUUUCCUAGCUCGAAUACCUGAUAUCAUAGCAGAUGAGGCUAGACUACCCCUCACAUCUAACCUCAAAGUUGCCUCUCCAGGAAUACAGAAUUCUACUAUUUUCCUUUUACAAUCCAGUUGGGCAUCGUAUCGGGCCAACCAAUCCAUGCCUAAUAUCACAUCGUAUCCCUUAAUGGCUAAACUUAUUAAAUUCCCCAAUAACUUCCGCUCACCUACCCAGAUCUCACAAUCCGAAUACAUCUUGCUAGAAAUCAAACAUUGAUCCCCUGUAGGAGUACUAACUUCCAGCUCAUAGGGAAGAAUAACAGGGUUUUAUAUCAAUUCCGCACAUAAACUCGGGGUUAACGAAAGAAUGGGUGGCUCCAGGGUCUAUCAAAAUUCUAGCUAGGCGGUGGAAGACAGGAAUCGUACCUUCCACUACCUCGGCUGAGUCAGGAACUGGACGUUUUUCGUUGGAGUAUACACGUGCGGCCACCUUCGGCUUGACACUUUCUACCCGUGAUUGACUUGAGGUAGCCUUGGAUGUCGGUGUAGUUCCUUUCACGUCUCGGGCUUGGACUGGACAACUGGCUAGCCAGUGCUCUGCACUCCCGCAGCGUAAGCACUUGUUCUGUUUCCUCCAGCAGUCGUCCUCCGUGUGGUUUGGUUUCCCACAAAAGCCACACGGCCCGCGCGCAACAGUAGCGGAACUCCCCUGUGAGGCACUCCUCUGCUGGCCUCGUCCGGGCUGGCUUCCUCGAGAGGGAGCCCCUCUGGCCGGACUCGUAAACCGUCCCCCUCCAGAUCCCCUUCCAAAUUUAGGAGGGGUACUUUUAUCCCCUUGAGUUGAGCUACUUCCAGCAGCUCCACGCUUUCUAUUCUGGAAGUUCCUCACCUGAAGCCUUGCGUUCUCGGAUCCUAAUGCUUUCUCAACAGCAUCACUAAAAGUGGUGAUUUGGGCUACGGCCAAAUCCUUUUGGAUUUCCACAUUAAGCCCCUGAAGGAAACGUCUUGCCCUCCUUUGCUCGGUCAAAAUGAGCUCAGGGGCAAACUUGGACAAGCGUGUGAAUUGGCUCUCAUAUUCGGCCACCGAUUGCGUACCUUGGCGUAGACGAAUAAAUUCAUCUUCCUUUUUCUCCUGAACCAACGGUGGAAAAUACUUAGCGUUAAACUCCCGUACAAAAUUCGUCCAUGUCCUUGGUGUCUGCUCUCGCUCCCAUUUUGUCCGAAUAAUGUUCCACCAAGAGCGAGCGGCCCCUUCGAGUUGGAAGACCGCAAAAGUCACUUGCCUCUCCUCCGAGUAACGUAGGGCGGCAAAAAUGUCUAUCAUCUUCUCCAACCAUUGCUCCGCCACGUCCGGAUCGGGCCCUCCGAGAAAUUUAGGUGGAGAAAAUUUUUGGAAUCGUUCGAGAGCUCGGUCUUCGCUCUCGACAUGAUUUCCAGGAUUUCCAGGGUUUCCAGGGUUGCCGACAGGUGGAUUAGGGUUUGGGCCCUGUUGCUGCACCACCUGGGCCAAGAGAUCAGUCAUCCGCUGGAUAGCAGCGGCUACUUGCACAUUAGGAUCGAUUUGGGGUUCAGGAGUUGGUUCGGGCACUUCAGUUCCCGUACCCUGUUCAGUCGUGGGCUGUCUACCCCCACGUCCUCUACCUCGGCCACUACGCGUGCCCUCCAUCGUUCUAGGUCAAUCUAGAGUCAAAAUAUACACAUAACAUAGCAUUAAGAUAAAAGUGUACACAUCCCUGGGUAUAACAAUAAACAUGAACACCCAGCCAAACAAUGACUUCAUAAAACACUUAGGCAUAUAACACAUAUUCAUAGCAUUCACAACAAGAUCAAACUUUCGUACAAAACAGUCAGUCAAGUUCAAACAGGGAAAGCCUCUUACGGAAUGGCAAUACAAAAGUAAUAUAUACAAAACUAGUCCAAUAUACAACGCGACUAGCUAAGGGUCCUUCCCGGCCUACCACUCCGUAUCCCUUAUAUAUACAAGAGUCAAAAUUCCCAAAAUAGCCUAAAAGCCAAGCCCUAGCCUACCGUGGGACUAGAGGACCUACUCACUUGGGCGGGUUCACUUCCAACCCCGCCUCCUACACUAGAGCCCUCGUCACUCUCGUCCCCUAAUAGGUCAUCACAUAGGUUCAGAAUCGAUCCCGCUCUCUCCUUCAAUUGCCUCGCCCUCUUGACCAUUCGUUCCCGUGUCUCUCCCAAUUGUGUACACAGGUCGUCCACCCUAUCUUGACCUUCACCCAGGUCAUAUUCCAAGUCCUUAAUUCGCUCGGCUUGCCUCUUGUUGGCCUCUCUCAGUUGCUUCACCUCGGCCUCUAGCCUUGCACAAUCUUUGGCCAACUCCUUCCUUUCUUUGUCCACGGCCCAUACUAGUGUAUUGGGGUAGGCAAACCUGUGACGGCACUCACAACGUCGAAGGCGACUAGCCGGACUCCAGCGUACCGCUGUCCCUCUCGGCCGGACCUGGUACUUGAUCAUAGGAAGUACUCUCCGGCCCUGUUCCACAGUCGGUCUCUCACUAGGCCCACUACGCGCGUCCAUCCUACAUAUAAACAUAAUUAAGCUCAACCACGCUUAAGAAAACAAUCAAAUACAAGUCCCUAGUCAAGAAAUUUCUAGCAUGCCCAGGUUAAUCUAAACCUAGGCUCUGAUACCACUUGUGACGACCCCAUCUUCCCCUAAGGCGAACCAGAGGGGUGACGGACCGCCUGCCCAGCUCUCGCCAGGACUACGGAUCACAAAACAAUCAAAUACAUAUUUAAUUUUACAAAAGAAAACUCAACGAAAGAACAUUUUAUCCCAUUAAGGUGUUCUUGGAACAAUAGUAUCAUCACGCAAGAAAGUAUAGCGCUCGAGCACUUCAAUCGGACCAGAAAACGAAGAACGAAAAUUUGCCGCGGAUGAACAGUAACCGCCUGCGUCACUAUCCGGCCAGAAUCUGGCCGGAUAGGAGGCCGAGUGUGAGAGCCCGUAAAACCCUAAUAUUUUUCCUAGGGUUAUUUCCCCUUUUAAUUGCAUAAUUUUGCAUUUUCUGGCUUAGAAAUAUUUUUUUGAGAGGAUUUUAUGAGCAGUUAUAGUUUUAAGAUGAUUUUUCUAGCACUGGAGAAUUUUUAGAAAAUUAAGAGUAAAUAGUGGACGUGGGACCCACUAGUGCGAAAAGUUCAGAAAAAUUCGGCCAAUAAGGUUAAGUUUCGGAUACUGUGUAUAAUUUAUCGGGUGUUAAGAGAUAAGUGGAGUGUGUGAAGUGAUUGAUGUGAGAGAGAAAAGAAGGAUAGGAAUGCAUUUAAUAAGGUGCCAUGUGUCACAAUCUCAUUGGUUGUGACUUAAGAAGUACUAUUCACCUUUUGACAUUUUUUUGACCUUUUGACCCAAGGAAUUAAAUAUCCAAAAUUUCACCAAAAUUCACCAUUUUCUUACCUCUUGUUGGCCGGCCACCUUGAGCAAGGAAGGAAGGAACUUUCUUCAACAUUCAAGCUUCUACUUGGAGCAAAUCAACCAAAACCAUUGGUUACAUCCAAUUCCACUCCAUAAAACUCUUCCUUCUAGUGAUAGUAAGUUGUUUGGUGAACUUUGUUUGAAGGCCUAAGGUGGUCAACAUCUCUCUCUCUCUUGGUUCUUGGUAAGUGAAGCUUGAAACACCCUACUAUCUCUAAUGAUGCUUAUUUUGUGCUUAAUGGAGGCAUGAGAGGAGUAAAAUGUGAUUUAUUUCUUGAUUUGGCUUGAUAUGGUGAAGUUUUCAUUUUAUUGAGAAUUUUUCUGGUUUAAUAUGAAAUGAAGGUUGUGGCUUUGCAUGAUGAAUGGUAUUGGUUGAUAAUGACUCUAUGAGGUGUAUUGGAUAGGAAAAUGCAACUAAUUUUGGAUUUGGAUGGAAAAUUGGAAAGUUAGGGUUCUUGAAGCCCCAAUUCUGUCCGGUUUUAGAUCACUGUGUUAGAGGCCGAAUUUGACUUUGCUCAAAACAUGAAAGUUGUAGGUAUUGAUGUGAUGGAGAUGGCUGUAAAAUUUCAGGUCAUUUGGAUUAAUGUGGAAUGAGAUAUGACGCAAUUACUGUAGCUGUUCUGCUUUGAGCAGAAUGCGAAAACUGCGAUAGUAAUUGGCCAUUUUGACUGGAAUUGGUUUGGAUUUUGGAGUUGGUGUCUUCUGAUGAAAUGUAGCUGAGUGUCUUAGCUAACAUAUGCCUUUGGAAUUUCGGCAUUUGGACUUGUAAGGACUGAGAUAUACCGAUUACAGUGUUUUGUGUUUUGCGAACCUGUUUUAGGAAUUCUGGGUUAGUAUUUGGCAUAGUUGACCUAGUUGUGUUACGAACUGGAUUGAGUGACCUUCUACAUUGUUUUAGCCCUGUUUCAUAGCUUCGAAUCGGUGGGUCUUACACCCCCAACCGAUAAUUGUAAUGAGAGUUGUGCCAUUACCGCAUAAUGAGUGUAAAACAGUUUUCUAUAUGGGGGCCAUGGCUAAGGCCAUUUUCGAAUUUCUGGGUUGCUUUUAUGCACACUUAUGUAUAUGAAACCCUAUUGGGGUUGUGUUUAGCGUUGCUAUAUGACUCGUUAUCGAGUCUCGUUGUAUGUGUUAUAUGUUCUAGGGCUUGAAGGUAGUGCACGACGGCUUGGUGAUCGUGGUACAUGAAAUACCACUUACUUACUUGGUGAGUAUACUACUCACUUACUUGUUAUAAUGUGGCUUUGUGCUAUGUGUAUUUGAUGCCUUGAAGGCUUACUUGGUUAUUGGAAAUGAUUGAGGUGAGGGUGUACUUGAUCGCCCUCACCCCUUGUGAUUUUGGUUAUGGCUACUGAUUGUUUUACUGAAAUACUGCACUGGGUAUAUGAGAUACUGCAUUCCAUUCAUGGAAACUGAUUUGGUGUCGUUGGACGAGUAUCCAAUGGCUUUACUGCAUUUAUGAGCUCAACCCCGUAUGGUAGUUAAUUGGAUCGAGCCGGCGAGGGCUUGGUCGUGAAAAUUAUCAUGCCACGGGGACUGUACUGGGGAACCUUGUGGUAAUGAGACCCUUGGUUCCGGUAAACUCGAGUAUUACCAAAAUAUUACUGAAUGGAGUGCGGGCCCGGUUGGGGUAUGUUGGGUGGAAGGAAGUGGAAGUAAAGUGUGGUCUACGGUUUGAUACUUUUGACAUUGACGGAGGGUCAAUGAGGUUGGAUCAAGAUUGCAAGCGUGGAAAUGGGCUCUUGAGAGCCGACCGUAUCCUUUUACCGUUUUGCUUCAUUGCUUAUUUGAGCACUUUAAAUGAAAGUUCAUUCUUAUAUGACUUUGAUUGCUUAUUGGGUGGUAUACCACUGGGCUUUAGCUCAUUCCGUGUUAUUUGUUUUCCUUACAGGCAAAUGAACACUUUUGGAAAGGUUAUGAUAGUUGAAUGCAAGUCGAGCUCAUGUAUAUGUAUUUUGAAUAGCUCCUUGAGGGUGAAAACCCUAAGUACUUUGAUUCCACCAAUGUUUGGUGUGUAAUUGGCUAUUUGGAUAUGUAUGAACUAAAUGGAUACUUUGGUAGGCCGUUUGGCUUGUAAAUGUUGAUUUCCAAUGUAUAUAUAUGUUUGGUUGAUGUUUGGAUUGAUUUCGGAUCGAUACGACUUCAAACGAAAACGGGAAAAAAUUUUUGCCGAGCGUGAACAGUGGCGAAUCCGGCCAGAAACUGGCCGGAUUGCAGGCCGGAUUGCCUGGGGGAAAAAUGGAACCCGGCCAGUUGCUCUCGGCCGGGUAUCCGGCCAGACAAUCCGGCCGGAUCUUGGCCGGAUUGCCGGCCGGAUUGUGAUGGAAGGAAAAAAAAAAAAGAGUUUUGAGUUUUGGCUUGUUUGCGCGCAACGGUAUGUUCCGGAUAGUAAUAGAACGACGUAAAACGUACUGUUAGUCCUGGCGAGAGCUGGGCAGGCAGUCCGCUAACCCCUCUGGUUCGCCUUAGGGGAAGGUGGGGCUGUCACAGGUGGUAUCAGAGCCUAGGUUUGAAUUAGCCUGGGUGUAAUAGAAGUGCUCGACUUGAGGGUUUUAUUGAUUAUGGUUUUAAGGUUAUUCAUGUUAUUUAUUCCUUUGCUAUAGGAUGGAUGCCAGUGGUGACCCGAGUGACCGUCCGGCGGGAGAUCGUCCUCGUAGCACGUUGCCGCCGAUUAGGUAUCAACUUAGGCAGAAGGGAGCCGUGGUCCGUUGGAGCCCGGCCAGCCGCGUUCGACAGUGUGAGUGUCGUAGCAACUUUGCCUACCCAAAUACACUAGUUUUGUCGGUGGCAAAGGAACGCGAGGAGUUUGCUAAGGAAAAUACUAAGCUUGAAGCUGCGGUUGCUACCUUGGAGGCUGAGGUGGCUCAGGCGAAGGCGACCAAUGACAAGCAAGCCGCACGUAUCAUGGAGCUUGAGUAUGAUGUGAAUGAGGCGGAGGACCGAGUUAAUGACUUAUGUGAUCAACUCAGGGAUGGUCGCGAGCGUGAGGUCAAGCGAGCUCGCAAAGUGAGGGGUCGUGCUGAAGCGAUCCUUAACCUAUGCGACGAUGGACUCGAGGAGUCUAGCGAUGAGGCCUCGUAUGCUGGGGCCGAGGCUAGGGAGGAAUCUACCCCAUCGCCUGGGUCUCAGACCCCGGCAACCGACUAAGCUAUGAUAUCUAGGCACCUUUUGGGCUAGUGGUGGUUUUUGAAUGUACAUAGGGAUAGGGAUAGAGCCUUAGCUAACCGUUUUGGAUGUAGAGUUAGCUACGUGUAAAUCUCUUUUGAUAGGCCUAUCCUCAGGUGGAUCUUUUGUGUACGUACGUGCUUUGGCCGUACCUGACUGACUGCUUGUAUAUAUGUUUGGCUUGUAUAUAUGUGUGCUUUUGAUCUUGUUUGAAAUGCAUCGUUAUGUGCUAAGUGAAAGUUUAUUUGUUACUUAUAUGCUUUGUUAUUGCUUUGGUUUAGUACUUUUGCCUAGACCAAGUAUACCUUAUGGAAGGAACGCGAAGUGGUCGGGGACGUGGGCGCGGUAUUAGGCAACCCACACCAGUUAGGGAAACGGGGGAAGCUUCUACUGGACCGAAUCCUGAACCCCAAAUAGACCCUAAUGUGCAAAUAGCUGCUGCUAUGCAGCAAAUGACCAACCUACUUGCACAGGUAGUGCAACAACAGGGCCAAAACCCAAACCCUAACCCCGGAAAUCCUGGUAACCACGUUGAGAGCGAGGAUAGAGCUCUCGAACGUUUUCAAAAGUUUUCCCCACCAAAGUUUAUUGGGGGACCCGACCCUGACGUCGCCGAGAAGUGGCUUGAGAAAAUGGUUGAUAUAUUCGCGGCCCUACACUACCCGGACGAACGGCAGGUCACUUUUGCCGUUUUUCAACUCGAGGGAGCUGCCCGUUCCUGGUGGAACGUAAUUAGGCAGAAAUGGGAGCGUGAGCAGACUCCGAGGACGUGGGUGAACUUCAUCCGGGAAUUUAAUGCCAAGUUUUUCCCUCCUCUAGUCCAGGAGAGGAAGGAGGACGAGUUUAUCCGGCUCCGGCAAGGGGCUCAGACGGUGGCGGAGUACGAGAGCCAGUUUACCCGCCUGUCCAAAUUCGCGCCUGAAUUAAUCAUGACCGAGCAACGACGCGUGAGGCGCUUUAUUCAGGGCUUGAAUGUUGAGAUCCAGAAGGACCUCGCGGCGGCUCAAAUUACCACGUUUAGCGAGGCAAUGGAAAAAGCCCAACGGGUUGAGAGUGCACGGCUUCAGGUCCGAAAUUUCCAAGCCAAGAAGCGUGGCUUUCCUGGGAGUACUUCGGGACAGGGUGAGAAGAGCACUCCCUCCAAAAUUGGACGAGGCAUGGGUGGUGGUCGACAGUCCGGAUCUGGCAGAGGGACUCCGUUCAGGGGUGGUCAAGCUGGGCGAGGACCGAGGGGAAACACCCAGAGUGGCUCGGCUUCGGCACCUCGUGGUCCCUGUGGGCACUGCGGAAAGACAAACCACACCGAGGACAAUUGCUGGAGGAAACUGGGGAAAUGUCUGCGGUGUGGAAGUGCGGACCAUCAGCUGGCUACAUGUCCGGUCCUGAAACAAGACGGAAAGGGGAGCCAACUCCCGUCGAGAACCAAUACUGGACCGGCUAAGGGAGACGGAUCCAAACCAAAAGUUCCGGCUAGGGUAUAUUCCUUAGAGCCCCACCAGAUCCCAGAGUCUUCCGAGGUCGUAGAAGGUACGAUCCCUAUUUUCCACCGCUUUGCCAAAGUUUUAAUUGAUCCUGGUGCCACUCAUUCGUUUGUUAACCCUGAUUUCAUGUGUGGCAUCGAUAUAAAACCUGCUAGCUUACCAUAUGACUUAGAGGUUAGUACACCUACGGGGAAUCAACGUUUGGUGACUAGUAUGGUUUAUAAGGAUUGUGAUGUAUGGGUAGGUGAGCGGAGGUUUUUAGGAGACCUGAUUAGCUUGUCCAUUAAGGGGUACGACGUGAUUUUGGGUAUGGACUGGUUAGCUAAGUAUAACGCCCAACUGGACUGUAAAACGAAAAUAGUUGAAUUUCGCAUUCCUGGCGAGGCAACCUUAAGGUUAGAUAUAAGGGGUAGGUUAGCCUCAUCUGCUCUCAUUUCGGGCAUUCGAGCUAGGAAACUGGUAAGUAGAGGGGCGCAAGGCUAUUUGGCCUUUCUAAUUAAUACCCCAGCGGAUAAGUUAAAAGUGGAAGACGUGGCUGUAGUGAGGGAAUUUCCGGAUGUGUUUCCUGAUGAGUUAGUAGCCUUACCUCCGGAAAGAGAGAUAGAAUUCCGUAUAGAUCUUUUACCUGGAACCGCACCUAUCUCCAAAACCCCUUACCGAAUGGCGCCUGCGGAACUUAAAGAGCUUAAGUUGCAAUUGCAAGACCUUUUGGAGCGGGGAUUCAUUCACGAGAGUGAGUCUCCUUGGGGAGCUCCGGUCCUAUUUGUGAAGAAAAAGGACGGAACGUUGAGGAUGUGUAUUGAUUAUAGGGGGUUGAACAACGUUACGAUCAAGAACAAGUAUCCACUGCCCCACAUUGACGAGUUGUUUGACCAGCUGCAAAGAGCAGUGGUCUUCUCGAAGUUGGACCUCCGACAGGGAUACUAUCAGUUAUUGGUAAAGAAGGAGGACAUUCCGAAAACUGCCUUCAACUCGAGAUACGGGCAUUACGAGUUCGCCGUUAUGCCCUUUGGAUUGACUAAUGCUCCCGCCGCCUUCAUGGACCUAAUGCAUAGGGUUUUCAAACCCUACCUGGACCGAUUUGUCGUGGUGUUCAUUGACGACAUUUUGGUCUACUCUAAGUCACGCGAGGAGCAUGAGGAGCACUUGAGAGUGGUGUUGCAGACAUUGAAGGAACAUCAGCUAUACGCCAAGUUCAGUAAAUGUGAGUUCUGGUUGGAGAAAGUGGCAUUUCUAGGGCACGUGAUCUCUCAUGAAGGUAUUGCAGUGGACCCGGCGAAGGUUGAAGCUGUGACCAAUUGGAAGAGGCCAGAAACCCCCACGGAGAUUCGCAGCUUUCUAGGGCUAGCUGGGUAUUACCGAAGGUUCAUUAAAGAUUUCUCCAAGUUAGCCGGACCAUUAACUGACUUGACGAAGAAGCAUGGCCAGUUUAUCUGGAGCGGCCGAUGCCAAACGAGUUUUCAGGAAUUAAAGAAAAGAUUGACCAUGGCUCCGGUACUGGUCUUGCCAAAUGGAGUGGACGGGUUUGCAGUAUAUGCGGACGCGUCGCGAGAGGGAUUGGGGUGUGUUUUGAUGCAGAACCGAAAUGUGAUAGCUUUCGCCUCUAGGAAAUUGAAGCUUCACGAGCAGAACUACCCGACUCACGACCUAGAAUUAGCCGCUGUUGUGUUUGCUUUGAAAAAGUGGAGGCACUACCUAUAUGGGGUGACCUUCGAAGUGUUUUCGGAUCACAAGAGUCUUAGGUACCUUUUCUCCCAGAAGGAACUGAAUAUGAGACAACGGCGAUGGAUGGAAUUCUUGGAAGAUUACGAUUGUACAAUCAACUACCAUCCGGGAAAGGCAAAUGUGGUAGCAGAUGCCUUGAGUCGUAAAGUGCAAGUGGCAGGGCUAAUGAUCAAGGAAUGGGAUUUGCUAGAAUUCGUGUGCGAGUGGAAACCCUGUCUUGGGAGCCAUAAGGUGAUAUUUGGCAAUAUUAGGGUUACAUCCACUCUACUGGAACGUAUAAAAGAGGCGCAAGGCAAGGAUUUGAUGGUGCGGAAGUGGAGAGCGAAAGUGGAAAAGGGAGAAACUACGGACUUCAAUUUGAGUCCUGAGGGUCUUCUGAAGUAUCGGAACCGAAUUGUAGUACCAAAGGACGAGUCAUUAAAAGCAGAAAUUCUGGAGGAAGCUCAUCGGUCCAAGUAUACAAUCCAUCCGGGUAGCAGCAAGAUGUAUCAAGACCUGAAAGGGACCUAUUGGUGGGAUAAUAUGAAGAGGGAAAUAGCUCAAUACGUGCAGAAAUGUCUUAUUUGCCAGCAAGUGAAGGCAGAGCAUCAAAAACCAUCGGGUCUAUUACAACCCUUGGAGAUACCCGAGUGGAAGUGGGAAAACAUCACUAUGGACUUCGUUUCAGGUUUACCAAGGACGCAAAGGGGACACGAUGCCGUUUGGGUGAUCGUUGAUCGAUUAACCAAAUCGGCCCAUUUCUUGCCGGUGAACAUGAAGUAUUCAAUGGAUCAGUUGGCCCGACUGUACAUGGACGAAGUAGUAAGACUACACGGUGUUCCUGUGAGCAUCGUUUCCGAUCGGGAUCCACGGUUCGUAUCAUGAUUUUGGCAGAAAUUCCAAGAAACCCUGGGGACGAAACUCAAUUUGAGCACAACCUAUCACCCUCAGACGGAUGGCCAGUCAGAACGGACGAUUCAAACUCUCGAGGACAUGCUACGAACUUGCAUUCUGGACUUUGGAGGCAGUUGGGGUCAGCACAUGACCUUGGUGGAGUUCGCGUACAACAAUAGCUUUCAUUCGUCGAUUCAAAUGGCUCCAUACGAAGCUCUCUACGGACGCAAGUGCCGCUCACCGAUUUACUGGGAUGAAGUUGGCGAAAAGAAGGCACUGGACCUGACAACUAUUCCGUGGAUGGAAGAGGCUCACGAGAAGGUCAAGUUGAUACGACAACGACUUCAAACAGCUCAAAGUCGACAAAAGAGCUACGCGGAUAAUCGAAGGAAAGACUUGGAGUUUGAAGUUGGAGACUACGUAUUUCUCAAGAUCACACCCUUACGAAGUCUGACAACGGGGAAAGGAAAGAAGCUUCAACCGCGGUACGUCGGACCCUACAAGAUCCUUCAGAGGGUUGGAGCGGUCGCGUAUCGAUUGGAACUGCCAUCCAGUCUCUCUCGAAUCCACGAUGUAUUUCACGUCUCGAUGCUAAAGAAGUACCAUCCUGACCCAUCUCAUGUUUUACAACCGGAAGAUAUCGAAGUAGAUGAAUCACUGGCCUAUGAAGAGAAACCGGUUCAAGUACUCGAUCGAAAAGUCAAAGAGCUCAGAAACAAAAAGAUUCCGCUAGUGAAAGUGCUAUGGAGAAACCACGGAGUGGAGGAAGCUACAUGGGAGAUGGAAGAGGAAAUGCGAAAGAAAUACCCAAACCUUUUCGGGAAUUAAGGUGAGAAAUUUCGAGGACGAAAUUCUUUUAAGGAGGGGAGAGUGUGAGAGCCCGUAAAACCCUAAUAUUUUCCCUAGGGUUAUUUCCCCUUUUAAUUGCAUAAUUUUGCAUUUUCUGGCUUAGAAAUAUUUUUUUGAGAGGAUUUUAUGAGCAGUUAUAGUUUUAAGAUGAUUUUUCUAGCACUGGAGAAUUUUUAGAAAAUUAAGAGUAAAUAGUGGACGUGGGACCCACUAGUGCGAAAAGUUCAGAAAAAUUCGGCCAAUAAGGUUAAGUUUCGGAUACUGUGUAUAAUUUAUCGGGUGUUAAGAGAUAAGUGGAGUGUGUGAAGUGAUUGAUGUGAGAGAGAAAAGAAGGAUAGGAAUGCAUUUAAUAAGGUGCCAUGUGUCACAAUCUCAUUGGUUGUGACUUAAGAAGUACUAUUCACCUUUUGACAUUUUUUUGACCUUUUGACCCAAGGAAUUAAAUAUCCAAAAUUUCACCAAAAUUCACCAUUUUCUUACCUCUUGUUGGCCGGCCACCUUGAGCAAGGAAGGAAGGAACUUUCUUCAACAUUCAAGCUUCUACUUGGAGCAAAUCAACCAAAACCAUUGGUUACAUCCAAUUCCACUCCAUAAAACUCUUCCUUCUAGUGAUAGUAAGUUGUUUGGUGAACUUUGUUUGAAGGCCUAAGGUGGUCAACAUCUCUCUCUCUCUUGGUUCUUGGUAAGUGAAGCUUGAAACACCCUACUAUCUCUAAUGAUGCUUAUUUUGUGCUUAAUGGAGGCAUGAGAGGAGUAAAAUGUGAUUUAUUUCUUGAUUUGGCUUGAUAUGGUGAAGUUUUCAUUUUAUUGAGAAUUUUUCUGGUUUAAUAUGAAAUGAAGGUUGUGGCUUUGCAUGAUGAAUGGUAUUGGUUGAUAAUGACUCUAUGAGGUGUAUUGGAUAGGAAAAUGCAACUAAUUUUGGAUUUGGAUGGAAAAUUGGAAAGUUAGGGUUCUUGAAGCCCCAAUUCUGUCCGGUUUUAGAUCACUGUGUUAGAGGCCGAAUUUGACUUUGCUCAAAACAUGAAAGUUGUAGGUAUUGAUGUGAUGGAGAUGCCUGUAAAAUUUCAGGUCAUUUGGAUUAAUGUGGAAUGAGAUAUGACGCAAUUACUGUAGCUGUUCUGCUUUGAGCAGAAUGCGAAAACUGCGAUAGUAAUUGGCCAUUUUGACUGGAAUUGGUUUGGAUUUUGGAGUUGGUGUCUUCUGAUGAAAUGUAGCUGAGUGUCUUAGCUAACAUAUGCCUUUGGAAUUUCGGCAUUUGGACUUGUAAGGACUGAGAUAUACCGAUUACAGUUUUUUGUGUUUUGCGAACCUGUUUUAGGAAUUCUGGGUUAGUAUUUGGCAUAGUUGACCUAGUUGUGUUACGAACUGGAUUGAGUGACCUUCUACAUUGUUUUAUCCCUGUUUCAUAGCUUCGAAACGGUGGGUCUUACACCCCCAACCGAUAAUUGUAAUGAGAGUUGUGCCAUUACCGCAUAAUGAGUGUAAAACAGUUUUCUAUAUGGGGGCCAUGGCUAAGGCCAUUUUCGAAUUUCUGGGUUGCUUUUAUGCACACUUAUGUAUAUGAAACCCUAUUGGGGUUGUGUUUAGCGUUGCUAUAUGACUCGUUAUCGAGUCUCAUUGUAUGUGUUAUAUGUUCUAGGGCUUGAAGGUAGUGCACGACGGCUUGGUGAUCGUGGUACAUGAAAUACCACUUACUUACUUGGUGAGUAUACUACUCACUUACUUGUUAUAAUAUGGCUUUGUGCUAUGUGUAUUUGAUGCCUUGAAGGCUUACUUGGUUAUUGGAAAUGAUUGAGGUGAGGGUGUACUUGAUCGCCCUCACCCCUUGUGAUUUUGGUUAUGGCUACUGAUUGUUUUACUGAAAUACUGCACUGGGUAUAUGAGAUACUGCAUUCCAUUCAUGGAAACUGAUUUGGUGUCGUUGGACGAGUAUCCAAUGGCUUUACUGCAUUUAUGAGCUCAACCCCGUAUGGUAGUUAAUUGGAUCGAGCCGGCGAGGGCUUGGUCGUGAAAAUUAUCAUGCCACGGGGACUGUACUGGGGAACCUUGUGGUAAUGAGACCCUUGGUUCCGGUAAACUCGAGUAUUACCAAAAUAUUACUGAAUGGAGUGCGGGCCCGGUUGGGGUAUGUUGGGUGGAAGGAAGUGGAAGUAAAGUGUGGUCUACGGUUUGAUACUUUUGACAUUGACGGAGGGUCAAUGAGGUUGGAUCAAGAUUGCAAGCGUGGAAAUGGGCUCUUGAGAGCCGACCGUAUCCUUUUACCGUUUUGCUUCAUUGCUUAUUUGAGCACUUUAAAUGAAAGUUCAUUCUUAUAUGACUUUGAUUGCUUAUUGGGUGGUAUACCACUGGGCUUUAGCUCAUUCCGUGUUAUUUGUUUUCCUUACAAGCAAAUGAACACUUUUGGAAAGGUUAUGAUAGUUGAAUGCAAGUCGAGCUCAUGUAUAUGUAUUUUGAAUAGCUCCUUGAGGGUGAAAACCCUAAGUACUUUGAUUCCACCAAUGUUUGGUGUGUAAUUGGCUACUUGGAUAUGUAUGAACUAAAUGGAUACUUUGGUAGGCCGUUUGGCUUGUAAAUGUUGAUUUCCAAUGUAUAUAUAUGUUUGGUUGAUGUUUGGAUUGAUUUCGGAUCGAUACGACUUCAAACGAAAACGGGAAAAAAUUUUUGCCGAGCGUGAACAGUGGCGAAUCCGGCCAGGAAUCCGGCCAGAAACUGGCCGGAUUGCAGGCCGGAUUGCCUGGGGGAAAAAUGGAACCCGGCCAGUUGCUCUCGGCCGGGUAUCCGGCCAGACAAUCCGGCCGGAUCUUGGCCGGAUUGCCGGCUGGAUUGUGAUGGAAGGAAAAAAGAAAAAAAAGUUUUGAGUUUUGGCUUGUUUGCGCGCAACGGUAUGUUCCGGAUCGUAAUAGAACGACGUAAAACGUACUGUUAGUCCUGGCGAGAGCUGGGCAGGCAGUCCGCUAACCCCUCUGGUUCGCCUUAGGGGAAGGUGGGGCUGUCACACCGAGGCUUAACCCAAAUUUUUCGAAAUCCCCUACCAAUCCGGCCAGAAAUCCGGCCGGAAGUUGGCCGGAUUGCUCUGGCCGGAUUGUGGCCAGAAGCAAAAUCGAAAAUUUUUUUUCUUCCCCUGCAUAUCCGGCCUUGUAUCCGGCCAGAAAUUGGCCGGAUUCUUGGCCGGAUUCUGGGCAGUGUUUUUGCCAAAAAUUCUUUCUUCCUUCGUACAAAACCGACACACGCGUAAACACAUCAAACACAUAAUGCAGUUUAUCCAAGCCUUGAAAAGCUGUUUAUACAUGCCAUAUAUACAUGAGAAAGGUUCAAUUUACACUUCAAAAGUUCUUGGAAUCAAAUACAUCAAAGUUCAAGUUUCCGAGGAGCUAAUCAAAACUAACUACAUAUCUAGCUCAACUCAUUCAAAACUUGAGGUCCAACGGGGCUCCUGUAAGGAAAACAAAAUAACGGGGGUGAGCUUACGCUCGUGAGGUACCAAAUUUACACACAAGUAAUACAAGUCAACAACCACAUAUACACAAGUGCCUCUAGCCAAUCAACCAUAUAUAAAAGGAUACAAUCGGCCCUCAAGGGCCGUUUUCCACUUGCCGUACUUGAUCAUACCCGUUGACACUCCGUCAACCAUUGGAGACAACCAAGAACCGUAGGCACCUCUUUACACCAUUUCCUUCCACCAAUCACCCCCUUACCGGGCCCGCACACCUCACAGUUACAAAAGGCAAUACUCGAGUAUACCAUAAGGUCGAGGAGUGAAUAUUCCACUCGACUAUCAGUGACCCAAAGGCACGUUAACGACUCGCCCAAGCCCUAGCCGGCUCGACUCGAGUAACGGCCUAAGGGAAAGAGCUCAGUUUUCACAGUAAUAAUAGGGCAUAGCCCUAGCAAAUAUCAAACCACAUAUGUACUUGAAAUUUCACAGUCCAACAGUAACAAUAAUACCAGUAAGUGGUCAAGAGCGAUAAAGUACACCCUUGACCUAUUCAAGCCAUACAAGUCACAUAUCAAGUGCAAUCAACCAUUUAAUGAUACACUCACCAAGUACUCAAGUAAAUCACACGUUCGAGUCAGGAGUAGGUCCCGGUCCACCGGUACGACCUAAAACAAGCAAGAAACAUAUUUGAGACUCAUACACGAGUCAACGUAUAGGUUUAACCUACUAAUACAAAUUACUCGAAAAUACAAAAUGGAGCAACGAAAGUGUGGAAUGUGAACAAACUCCCAAAGUCAUCCAUUCUAUUCAAAUCCUUCUCAAUUCAAGACCUCCCAUUUUUACACCCAAUUGGGCGGCAUUUCCCCUUAAUUUCUUCACAUUUCCAACCUAAUGAACAACACUCAACACUUGUACCAUUCCACUUAUGGUUCUUAAACUAGUCCAUUCACCCCAUUUGAAUCACAAUACAACCAUAUACACAUCAAUUGAUUGCAUGAAAACCAUACAUGGAAAAGCCCCAAUUUCAUUAAACCCUAAAACCGAAAUUUUCUCACAAAUGCUGAAAUUUUUCACAAUUACCCACCAUUAACACAUAUAAGCUCUAAAUCAAGCCAUAUAAAGCCAUCACACCCAACUCAACCAUGAUAUAUCAUAUAAAACAGAAAAUUCCUAAAUAAAUAGAAAAUUGCCACAUCUCAAGUAUAAGUCAUGAAAUACUCCAUAAAAUAGCCUCUUGAACUACUAUCACCCAUAACUUUCAUCUUACAACCAACAAGGAAACAAUUCCAUAUUCACUCACCUUACAAUUCUUGAUACAAGGUAGAUGAGAGCCUUUCCUUUCAAACAAAAACCACCAAGCACUUCAAACACUCCUAGCAAGAAGGUUUUAUGGAGGAUUUUGAGAGAUUAGUGGUUGGAUUCCAUGAUUUGGCAAAGAAAUGGAGCAAGAGUUGAAGAGCUUUCUUCCUUCUUUUCUCUCUAGUUGGCCGGCCAAGAGGUAAGAAAUAAUGAGGAAUUUUAGUCAAAAUUUUAAUUUAGUAAAGGUGUAGACAAGUCAAAAGUCCAAGGUCCAAUAGGAUUGCAACAUGUGUUUUUUUCCAAGCUUAUCUCAUUCUUGUCUUACAACACUUAAUUAAACCAACUAACCUCCAAUUAACUCAUAACACAAGAUAAUAAAACUUCCGUAUAUAAAAUUUCCCAAAACUACAUUUAACUGUACCGAUCGUCUUAGUGGGUCCCGCAAUCGCUGUAUACCGUUAACAACACAGAAUUUGACCUAAACCUAGAAAAUGAUGUAAAAUUCAUAUUCUCUCAUAAAAUUCCCCAGAAAACCCACGGAUAGAAGAAAACCCUAAAAUUAGGCCCAAACGCCCAAAAUAAAUGCCUGAAAAAUAUGAAAAUUUUCGGGGUCUCACAGGUUGACAGGAGGGUCAAUGCGGGAAAGUAUACGAAUGACAUCGACAGAGCGAGUGGAACUUAGCUCCUGAGAGCUACUAUAUCCUUGAAUUGUUUCUGAUUUACUUUUCCGGCUCGAAUGAUUGACUAAUGAAAUGUCCUGGUUUUGUUUAAUGAAUUUGGGAUUGCUAUUUGAACAAAGUGCUUGCAUGUGUGUUCUUGGCCUCACGAGCGUUUUGCUCACCCUGUAGAUUUGUUUUCCUUAACAGGACUGGAAAUGGAGUUAACGCGGAGAAAUCUCCUUUUAGAUAUAUUGUGUUUUAGGGUUUCAAGUGUAUUUUGGCUCGACCCCUUUAUGAUUGUACUUUUGGAAGUUUAAUGUAUCAUUCGGAUAUAUGGGGUGUAUAUUUUG
This 33601-nucleotide long non-coding RNA is filed under the name Coffea arabica (coffee). RNAcentral describes it as "long non-coding RNA (CARA_LNC001252)". Lineage: Eukaryota; Viridiplantae; Streptophyta; Magnoliopsida; Gentianales; Rubiaceae. The record is from RNAcentral.